RNAcentral lists this non-coding RNA (943 nucleotides) under Protosalanx chinensis. RNAcentral's name for it is "12S ribosomal RNA". It matches the Rfam family "Bacterial small subunit ribosomal RNA". The record is from RNAcentral. Lineage: Eukaryota; Metazoa; Chordata; Actinopteri; Osmeriformes; Salangidae.
CAAAGCUUUGGUCCUGACUUUACAUUCAGCUUCAACCAAAUUUAUACAUGCAAGUCUCCGCACUCCUGUGAGGAUGCCCUUUACCCUCUGCCCGGGGGCAAGGAGCUGGUAUCAGGCACGCACAAAGCAGCCCAGGACGCCUUGUUUAGCCACACCCCCAAGGGUACUCAGCAGUGAUAGACAUUAAGCAAUAAGCGAAAGCUUGACUAGGUUACGGUUUUUAGGGCCGGUAAAUCUCGUGCCAGCCACCGCGGUUAAACGGGUGGCCCAAGUUGAAAAUCACCGGCGUAAAGAGUGGUUAGGGAAACAAAAAACUAAAGCCGAACACCCUCCAGGCCGUGAUACGCUUCCGAGGGUAUGAAGCCCUACUACGAAAGUGGCUUUAAUACACCUGAACCCACGACAACUAAGACACAAACUGGGAUUAGAUACCCCACUAUGCUUAGCCGUAAACUUUGAUAUUAACUUACCCCUAAUAUCCGCCAGGGGACUACAAGCGUUAGCUUAAAACCCAAAGGACCUGGCGGUGCCUCAUACCCACCUAGAGGAGCCUGUUCUUGAAUCGAUAAUCCCCGUCAACCUCACCACCCCUUGUUCAACCCGCCUAUAUACCGCCGUCGUCAGCUCACCCUGUGAAGGUCUUAAAGUGAGCAAAAUGGGCACAACCCAAAACGUCAGGUCAAGGUGCAGCGUAUGCGGUGGGAAGAAAUGGGCUACAUUACCUACCCCAGGUCAUCACGGAAAGGGUUGUGAAACCAGCCCUGGAAGGUGGAUUUAGCAGUAAGAAGAAAAUAGAGAGUUCUUCUGAGCCGGCUCUGAGGCGCGCACAUACCGCCCGUCACUCUCUCCGAAUUCACUUAAUCUGGUUCUUAACAAGACAACCGAACAAAGGGGAGGCAAGUCGUAACAUGGUAAGUGUACCGGAAGGUGCACUUGGAACAAC